RNAcentral lists this ribosomal RNA (251 nucleotides) under uncultured prokaryote. RNAcentral's name for it is "partial 16S rRNA". It matches the Rfam family "Bacterial small subunit ribosomal RNA", at positions 525 to 775 of the family's 1533-position model. The record is from RNAcentral.
ACGUAGGGGACAAGCGUUGUCCGGAAUCACUGGGCGUAAAGGGCGCGUAGGCGGUUUUAUAAGUCAGAUGUGAAAGGUACCGGCUCAACCGGUGACGUGCAUUUGAAACUGUAAGACUUGAGUACUGGAGAGGGGGGUGGAAUUCCUGGUGUAGCGGUGAAGUGCGUAGAGAUUAGGAGGAAGACCGGUGGCGAAGGCGGCUUACUGGACAAAUACUGACGCUGAGGUGCGAAAGCGUGGGGAGCGAACAG